GCCAAAGGUGAAGUUAACAAUAGACUCUGUAGUAUUUAGAUUAUUAUUGUCAAAGUAGAUCUUUGCAUUCUCCUCCCACAAACGACAGAUGAAGUUCAGAGAUCGACCUGGGUUUUUUUUAUUCUAAAACAUUGUGUGUGUGCUGUGCACUACCUUUUUGUAGAGAUAAAUAAACAGCAGGGGGUAGACACAAAAUUCUGUUAUAAAUCAGUUGCUAGGCAGGUCUUAUUGAUCGCGAGAGGUAUGUAUUGAGUAACGCAUCUAGUCAAUCCAGUUGGAACCAACAAUGGAUAUCUAUGACGAAUUUCUUUUGCCCUUUAAAUGAUUUUCACGGGACGAUUCAAAACAACUUUUGUGAUCAUAAAAUAAAAAUAAGAAAAAUUAUAUUCUUCUUCUUCUUCUCAAAAUAGGGGGAGUUUCUGUGAGGAUGAUGGAAGAAGAAAAAAAUUUGUUCCUGACGUCAGUUUUUCCUGGAAAAGCCUUCACUUUUCAUCCUCCCCUAUUUCUCUCUCUAGCUAGCUAGCUAGCUAGUGGGCGCACAGCUCCGGAACACGUAUAUACACACAUAAAAGAGGAAUCGUGGUUGGGAUGCGUACAUCGUCUACCACAAGCCCUAUCAAUUGAGGGGCGAGAACCGGUGAUGGAACCAGUCAAUACCCAAAACCCCGUCUAGAAAAAGAAAGAAAAGCUGCUGAAGGCCUUUUUCCCUUCUUACACGGUAA
This is a long non-coding RNA of Daphnia pulicaria, 722 nucleotides long. RefSeq lists it as uncharacterized. The record is from RefSeq and is a predicted model, not a curated record. Lineage: Eukaryota; Metazoa; Arthropoda; Branchiopoda; Diplostraca; Daphniidae. The transcript is spliced from 3 exons.